Molecule: ribosomal RNA, 637 nt
Filed under: Francisella tularensis
Lineage: Bacteria; Pseudomonadati; Pseudomonadota; Gammaproteobacteria; Thiotrichales; Francisellaceae
Description: partial 23S ribosomal RNA
Rfam family: Bacterial large subunit ribosomal RNA
Source: RNAcentral
CCACCUGACACAAGUUGGGUACUCACUCGAUAUAGAGUGUAGAGCGAACGAGGGGAACUGAAACAUCUAAGUACCCUUAGGAAGAGAAAUCAAUUGAGAUUCCCGUAGUAGUGGCGAGCGAAGUGGGAAGAGCCUGGUAUGAUUUAGCUGUAAUUAUAGUAGAACAAGUUGGGAAGCUUGACGAUAGAGGGUGAUAGUCCCGUAUACGAAAUAAUCACAGUGGAACUAAGCAUACGAACAAGUAGGACGGGGCACGUGGAACCUUGUCUGAAUAUGGGGGGACCAUCCUCCAAGGCUAAAUACUCCUGAAUGACCGAUAGUGGACUAGUACCGUGAGGGAAAGGUGAAAAGAACCCUUAUAAAGGGAGUGAAAUAGAAUCUGAAACCGCUUGCAUACAAGCAGUAGGAGCAUGAUUUAGUCAUGUGACUGCGUACCUUUUGUAUAAUGGGUCAGCGAGUUAUUUUUAGUGGCGAGGAUAACUGAAUAAGGGAUCCGUAGCGAAAGCGAGUUUUAAUAGGGCGACUAGUCGCUAGGAGUAGACCCGAAACCGGCGCGAUCUAUCCAUGGCCAGGUUGAAGAUUAGGUAGUACUAAUUGGAGGACCGAACCCAAUACUGUUGCAAAAGUAUGGGAUGAG